UACUCCUCCCCCUUUUCUGUGCUACCUUCUCCAUCCCCACUAUAACAGCGAAAGAGAGAACAACAGGAGGGCAAUCUCUAUUCCUCCCCACGUCCGACGGUGCUCAAACGACGGCGAGUGGCGGCGCCCCUAUAGUUCCCCUUGCCGGCGUGCGCGAACUCCCGCCGGAGAGCGCGCCGCUGUCAAGUGGUCCUGUGGAGGUGCCCUUUGCCCCGAAGGGUUGUUCUUCGUCCCCGCACCUCGGCUUGCCGAUGCGUGUGGGGAUCGAUAGGAACAAGCGCGGCCGGAGUGGCGGCGCACUUUGCCGGCAAGGCCCGAGGCCCUCUGUCGGUAAUCUUUUCCUUUGCCCUCUGAUUAUGGUUCUUCGGAGGGGGUCUUUUUCUUUCUCUGUUUUUCCUUUGUACCGAAAUCAAUCUAGAUCCUAGCCUGUCUGAUACCA
Molecule: non-coding RNA, 439 nt
Organism: Aegilops tauschii subsp. strangulata
Lineage: Eukaryota; Viridiplantae; Streptophyta; Magnoliopsida; Poales; Poaceae
Source: RefSeq, a predicted model, not a curated record